CAAUAGCGUAUAUUAAAGUUGUUGCGGUUAAAAAGCUCGUAGUUGGAUUUCUGCCGAGGACGACCGGUCCGCCCUCUGGGUGAGUAUCUGGCUCGGCCUGGGCAUCUUCUUGGAGAACGUAGCUGCACUUGACUGUGUGGUGCGGUAUCCAGGACUUUUACUUUGAGGAAAUUAGAGUGUUUCAAGCAGGCUUACGCCUUGAAUACAUUAGCAUGGGAUAAUAAGAUAGGACCUCGGUUCUAUUUUGUUGGUUUCUAGAGCUGAGGUAAUGAUUAAUAGGGAUAGUUGGGGGCAUUCGUAUUUAACUGUCAGAGAUGAAAUUCUUGGAUUUGUUAAAGACGGACUACUGCGAAAGCAUUUGCCAAGGAUGUUUUCAUUGA
Molecule: ribosomal RNA, 380 nt
Filed under: uncultured eukaryote
Lineage: Eukaryota
Description: partial 18S ribosomal RNA
Rfam family: Eukaryotic small subunit ribosomal RNA
Source: RNAcentral